UACGGAGGGGGCUAGCGUUGUUCGGAAUUACUGGGCGUAAAGCGCGCGUAGGCGGAUCUGCAAGUCGGGGGUGAAGGCCCGAGGCUCAACCUCGGAACUGCCUUCGAUACUGCGGGUCUCGAGUCCGGGAGAGGUGAGUGGAAUUCCUAGUGUAGAGGAGAAAUUCGUAGAUAUUAGGAAGAACACCAGUGGCGAAGGCGGCUCACUGGCCCGGUACUGACGCUGAGGCGCGAAAGCGUGGGGAGCAAACAGG
This 253-nucleotide ribosomal RNA is filed under the name uncultured bacterium. RNAcentral describes it as "partial 16S ribosomal RNA". It matches the Rfam family "Bacterial small subunit ribosomal RNA", at positions 524 to 776 of the family's 1533-position model. The record is from RNAcentral.